GUGCUAACUUCUGCAGGACAUGUACUAAAUCUAGAACGAUACAGAGAAGAUUCGUAUGGCCCUGCACAAGGCUGACACACAAAUUCAUGAAACAUUCCGUAUGUUU
Molecule: small nuclear RNA, 106 nt
Organism: Suricata suricatta (meerkat)
Lineage: Eukaryota; Metazoa; Chordata; Mammalia; Carnivora; Herpestidae
Source: Ensembl